UACAGAGGUCUCAAGCGUUGUUCGGAUUCAUUGGGCGUAAAGGGUGCGUAGGCGGUGCGGUAAGUCGGGUGUGAAAUCUCGGAGCUUAACUCCGAAACUGCAUUCGAUACUGCCGUGCUUGAGGACUGGAGAGGAGACUGGAAUUUACGGUGUAGCGGUGAAAUGCGUAGAUAUCGUAAGGAAGACCAGUGGCGAAGACGGGUCUCUGGACAGUUCCUGACGCUGAGGAACGAAAGCUAGGGGAGCAAACAGG
This 253-nucleotide ribosomal RNA is filed under the name uncultured bacterium. RNAcentral's name for it is "partial 16S ribosomal RNA". It matches the Rfam family "Bacterial small subunit ribosomal RNA", at positions 524 to 776 of the family's 1533-position model. The record is from RNAcentral.